This is a long non-coding RNA of Ficedula albicollis (Collared flycatcher), 183 nucleotides long. RefSeq lists it as uncharacterized. The transcript is spliced from 2 exons. The record is from RefSeq and is a predicted model, not a curated record. Lineage: Eukaryota; Metazoa; Chordata; Aves; Passeriformes; Muscicapidae.
UGUAGUUGGAGAUGUUGCUGCCCGGGUUGCUGCACUGGAGGUUCCUCCUGGAGCAGAGGUGGCUGAUGCUCCUGUGGUGCUUCCUGCAGUGGUUCUGGAGGUGCUGGCAGUGCUGGUGGCCUCACUGGGCACAGUUGUUGGGGGAGGAAUGAUGAUGGUUGUGCCUUCAGUCUGAGGGGGAGA